GCAGGGACGAAGCGCAAGUGACGGUACCUGCAGAAGAAGCACCGGCCAACUACGUGCCAGCAGCCGCGGUAAUACGUAGGGUGCGAGCGUUGUCCGGAAUUACUGGGCGUAAAGAGCUCGUAGGCGGUUUGUCGCGUCGUCUGUGAAAUCCCGCAGCUCAACUGCGGGCUUGCAGGCGAUACGGGCAGACUCGAGUACUGCAGGGGAGACUGGAAUUCCUGGUGUAGCGGUGAAAUGCGCAGAUAUCAGGAGGAACACCGGUGGCGAAGGCGGGUCUCUGGGCAGUAACUGACGCUGAGGAGCGAAAGCGUGGGUAGCGAACAGGAUUAGAUACCCUGGUAGUCCACGCCGUAAACGGUGGGCGCUAGGUGUGGGUUUCCCUUCCACGGGAUCCGUGCCGUA
This 402-nucleotide ribosomal RNA is filed under the name Rhodococcus sp. KOD16. RNAcentral describes it as "bacterial SSU rRNA". It matches the Rfam family "Bacterial small subunit ribosomal RNA", at positions 439 to 850 of the family's 1533-position model. The record is from RNAcentral. Lineage: Bacteria; Bacillati; Actinomycetota; Actinomycetes; Mycobacteriales; Nocardiaceae.